Molecule: ribosomal RNA, 484 nt
Filed under: uncultured bacterium
Lineage: Bacteria
Description: partial 16S ribosomal RNA
Rfam family: Bacterial small subunit ribosomal RNA
Source: RNAcentral
AUUGAACGCUGGCGGCAUGCCUUACACAUGCAAGUCGAACGGCAGCGCGGACUUCGGUCUGGCGGCGAGUGGCGAACGGGUGAGUAAUACAUCGGAACGUACCCUGUUGUGGGGGAUAACUAGUCGAAAGAUUAGCUAAUACCGCAUACGACCUGAGGGUGAAAGUGGGGGAUCGCAAGGCCUCACGCAGCAGGAGCGGCCGAUGUCUGAUUAGCUAGUUGGUGGGGUAAAGGCCCACCAAGGCGACGAUCAGUAGCUGGUCUGAGAGGACGAUCAGCCACACUGGGACUGAGACACGGCCCAGACUCCUACGGGAGGCAGCAGUGGGGAAUUUUGGACAAUGGGGGCAACCCUGACCCAGCAAUGCCGCGUGUGUGAAGAAGGCCUUCGGGUUGUAAAGCACUUUUGUCCGGAAAGAAAUCGCGCUGGUUAAUACCUGGCGUGGAUGACGGUACCGGAAGAAUAAGCACCGGCUAACUACGUG